UACGGGGGGAGCAAGCGUUGUUCGGAUUUACUGGGCGUAAAGGGCGCGUAGGCGGCCACCGCAAGUCGGUUGUGAAAUCUCUGGGCUUAACCCAGAACGGCCAAGUGAAACUGACAUGCUAGAGUGCAGAAGGGGCAAUCGGAAUUCUUGGUGUAGCGGUGAAAUGCGUAGAUAUCAAGAGGAACACCUGAGGUGAAGACGGGUUGCUGGGCUGACACUGACGCUGAGGCGCGAAAGCCAGGGGAGCAAACGGG
This 254-nucleotide ribosomal RNA is filed under the name uncultured bacterium. Its description in RNAcentral is "partial 16S ribosomal RNA". It matches the Rfam family "Bacterial small subunit ribosomal RNA", at positions 524 to 776 of the family's 1533-position model. The record is from RNAcentral.